This 513-nucleotide ribosomal RNA is filed under the name uncultured bacterium. Its description in RNAcentral is "partial 16S ribosomal RNA". It matches the Rfam family "Bacterial small subunit ribosomal RNA", at positions 28 to 523 of the family's 1533-position model. The record is from RNAcentral.
GACGAACGCUGGCGGCAUGCCUAAUACAUGCAAGUCGAGCGAACAGAUGAAGUGCUUGCACUUCUGACGUUAGCGGCGAACGGGUGAGUAACACGUAAGGAAUCUACCUAUAAGCGGGGGAUAACAUUCGGAAACGGGUGCUAAUACCGCAUAAUAUCUUCUUCCGCAUGGAAGAAGAUUGAAAGACGGCUCUGCUGUCACUUAUAGAUGACCUUGCGGUGCAUUAGUUAGUUGGUGGGGUAAUGGCCUACCAAGACGAUGAUGCAUAGCCGACCUGAGAGGGUGAUCGGCCACAUGGGGACUGAGACACGGCCCAAACUCCUACGGGAGGCAGCAGUAGGGAAUCUUCCGCAAUGGGCGAAAGCCUGACGGAGCAAUGCCGCGUGAGUGAAGAAGGCCUUCGGGUCGUAAAACUCUGUUAUAAAAGAAGAACAAAUUGUAGAGUAACUGCUACAGUCUUGACGGUAUCUUAUCAGAAAGCCACGGCUAACUACGUGCCAGCCGCCGCGGUAA